GGGGAAUAUUGGACAAUGGGCGCAAGCCUGAUCCAGCCAUGCCGCGUGAGUGAUGAAGGCCCUAGGGUUGUAAAGCUCUUUCACCGGUGAAGAUAAUGACGGUAACCGGAGAAGAAGCCCCGGCUAACUUCGUGCCAGCAGCCGCGGUAAUACGAAGGGGGCUAGCGUUGUUCGGAAUUACUGUGCGUAAAGCGCACGUAGGCGGACAUUUAAGUCAGGGGUGAAAUCCCGGGGCUCAACCCCGGAACUGCCUUUGAUACUGGGUGUCUGGAGUCCGGAAGAGGUGAGUGGAAUUCCGAGUGUAGAGGUGAAAUUCGUAGAUAUUCGGAGGAACACCAGUGGCGAAGGCGGCUCACUGGUCCGGUACUGACGCUGAGGUGCGAAAGCGUGGGGAGCAAAC
This 400-nucleotide ribosomal RNA is filed under the name uncultured bacterium. RNAcentral's name for it is "bacterial SSU rRNA". It matches the Rfam family "Bacterial small subunit ribosomal RNA", at positions 356 to 773 of the family's 1533-position model. The record is from RNAcentral.